AUGUAUACCAAUGCUUUCUCUGAAGCACUACAGUUUUAACUUGUCUUUGUGGGAUUUGAUAGUACAAUUUAGGAUGCUAAAAUCCCUUUGUACUUGUCUAGGUUUCUUUCUUUACCACGCACAGGGAGUGCUGGAGUUUUCUUUUUCUCCAAAGAUGAUGAAUGCCCAAGAGGUAAUUGCCUAAUAGGAAUCUGGACUUUUAGAGCUUACCAAAACAUUAGCCACUUGACAGUUUACCUAGAUAUUUUGGAUCCUUUCAGAGGGCCCAAAGUUAUUUUGUAGAUCAGCAGAGCUCAGUGAAGAGAAAGAGAGUUGGGAAGACAGACGUAGAUUGUUGCUUGAGGAGCAGCUACUUAACUAUAUGUCAAGAAUGUAUUUAAGAGAAAGAGUGAAUUUAGAGACUUCUCCUAACAGUGGAUUCAGAACCUUCUCCGAAGAAUUGGUUAGAUUUUCAUUAUUUUCCGGAAUGCUGAAGGAAGCAUAAGGAUACCAGAUAGAAAGUACAAAGAAACCAAUAAACCUUUUACUGAUUAGAA
This is a long non-coding RNA of Vidua macroura (Pin-tailed whydah), 536 nucleotides long. RefSeq lists it as uncharacterized. The record is from RefSeq and is a predicted model, not a curated record. NCBI's taxonomy places the organism in Eukaryota, Metazoa, Chordata, Aves, Passeriformes, Viduidae. The transcript is spliced from 4 exons.